This 405-nucleotide ribosomal RNA is filed under the name bacterium. RNAcentral describes it as "partial 16S ribosomal RNA". It matches the Rfam family "Bacterial small subunit ribosomal RNA", at positions 355 to 776 of the family's 1533-position model. The record is from RNAcentral.
UGGGGAAUCUUGCGCAAUGGGCGAAAGCCUGACGCAGCGAUGCCGCGUGCGGGAUGAAGGCCUUCGGGUUGUAAACCGCUUUCAGCAGGGACGAAAUUGACGGUACCUGCAGAAGAAGCCCCGGCCAACUACGUGCCAGCAGCCGCGGUAAUACGUAGGGGGCGAGCGUUGUCCGGAUUUAUUGGGCGUAAAGAGCUCGUAGGCGGUUCGGUAAGUCGGAUGUGAAAUCUCCACGCUCAACGUGGAGAGGCCAUUCGAUACUGCCGUGCAUCGAGUCCGGUAUGGGAGUGUGGAAUUCCCGGUGUAGCGGUGAAAUGCGCAGAGAUCGGGAGGAACACCCGUAGCGAAGGCGGCACUCUGGGCCGGUACUGACGCUGAGGAGCGAAAGCGUGGGGAGCAAACAGG